RNA transcript from Acinonyx jubatus (cheetah), 923 nucleotides. It is a transcript of the gene named mitochondrial ribosomal protein S18A, with no coding region annotated. The transcript has 6 exons. NCBI's taxonomy places the organism in Eukaryota, Metazoa, Chordata, Mammalia, Carnivora, Felidae. The record is from RefSeq and is a predicted model, not a curated record.
GUUCCGGAAGCGGAAGUGCACUAGGGGUCACCGUUAAUUGUCAAGAUGGCGGCUCUCAAUGUGCUGGUGUAUUCUUGUGGACGGCUGCUCCGAGGGCUCCUGGCUGCUCCAGUCGCGACCUGCUGGGCUCGGCCUCCAGCUCGCGGGUUCAGGGAAGUGGUGGAGAUCCAAGAAGGGAAGACAACUAUAAUUGAAGGCCGGAUGACAGGGACUCCCAAGGAAAGUCCAAACCCCCCUAACCCCACUGGCCAGUGCCCCAUCUGCCGGUGGAACCUGAAACACAAGUAUGGCUAUGAGCCGUUUCCAGGAAAUGGAUUUGGCUGUGUUUAUCCAGCAGAAGAAAUCCAAUCCCCUCCGAGCGGUCUCACAGUCCAAAGGAAGCCUGAGGAUCCAUUCACAUCUGCUCACAGGGGGCUUAAGAAGAUGUGGCAUUCAACUUCACAACCCUCGUCCCCUCCCACUCGGCUCAUAUGCUGCCUCGCACUUCCAAGGGAAGAGCAUAGGUUGGAGGGGUGGUCUGUGUGUAUUCUGGUCCCAUGGCAUGUAGGCUUUGGGGUAGAAAUGGUACCCAUUUUCCCACUUUCCCUCUUGUGUGUAAAUCUGUGACGUGCCCCCUAUCUCACCCAAGGAGAAUAAUAGACGUUUCAUUACCAAAAAAGAUGCUGCUGGUGCUCGAAAGAUUAAUGCACUUUUUUUUUUUUUUUUAAGAGCAAGCAGGGGAGGGCAGAGGGAGAGAGAAAAUCUUAAGCAGGCUCCACGCUCAGCACAGAACCCAACAUGGGGCUCAGUCUCACAAACCGAUGUUCUGCUGCUCAGUCAGUUCAUCCGGCCUUGCGGGGGCAUGCUGCCUCGAAGGAUCACAGGCUUGUGCCAGGAAGAGCACCGCAAGAUUGAGGAGUGUGUGAAGAUGGCACACCGGGCAG